GAUGAAGAACGUAGCGAAAUGCGAUAAGUAAUGUGAAUUGCAGAAUUCAGUGAACCAUCGAAUCUUUGAACGCACAUUGCGCCCGCCAGCACUCUGGCGGGCAUGCCUGUCCGAGCGUCAUUUCAACCCUCAGGGCCCCUUCGGGGGACCUGGCGUUGGGGAUCGGCCCGCCCCCGUGCGGCGCCGUCCCCGAAAUAUAGUGGCGGUCUCGCUGCAGCCUCCCCUGCGUAGUAGCACACCUCGCACUGGAGAGCGGCGCGGCCACGCCGUGAAACCCCCAACUUCUGAAUGUUGACCUCGGAUCAGGUAGGAAUACCCGCUGAACUUAAGCAUAUCAAUAAGCGGAGGA
Molecule: unclassified non-coding RNA, 349 nt
Filed under: soil metagenome
Description: partial contains 5.8S ribosomal RNA, internal transcribed spacer 2, and large subunit ribosomal RNA
Rfam family: 5.8S ribosomal RNA (bases 1-120)
Source: RNAcentral